AUACCCAUCUCAUCUCAAAUGCUGUUGGGAGAGGCCUCGAAGUAUUGAAACUGUGUGGCAUGGUUAGGAAGUCUGCAUUCUGUCCUUCCUUCACUCUGGCCUUGUAUCUCUAUAGUGGCAAUGAUUCUGCUCUCUGUGGUGCCAUUUUCUGAAGCAAUCUUUUAUUUUAUCUCAUCUCUGCGGCUUGGUCUUUUGUUGUUUUUUACGAUUAUAUUCGUUCACUCUACCCUCUCUCACCUUCAUCACUUUGCUUUUUUCGUUGCACUGCAGCGAGUUCCUUGUGUUCACUGUUUCUACUGUCGUUCAUGUGACAUAAUUCAUUUGAAAAUGAAGUUGCUGCCUUGUAAAAAAAAUAGUGUUCAUGAAGUGUGCUUUUAAAUGGCGUUGUGAUUUGUCGGUUAACCUAGGAUGGUGUCAUGGAGGAGCCCCUGCGUGUAAAGUUGACAGGUGCUUGUUUUGACUGCAACAUAACAUCUGCUUGUCGUCAAUUUCUUGGUGCUUUUUGGCUCAAGAGGGGUAGGCUUACGUACCAGUUAUGAAGGAUUUGCGACAGUGAUUAGUGUGUGCAUGUCAUUGGCGCUUUUUCCUCAAUGUCCUAUCAGAACUCCCAACACCGUCGCUUAGUUGCCCGGUAUAGAUCCCUAUGUGUCAGAGAAAUUACACGGUGCAGGAGCUGGAAUGAAGUUUACUGUUGCCCAAUCCUUAAUUACUUUCUUGUUUGUGAAAAAUCGUCGGGGCACCCAGUGACAUGUUGAGUCUGUAAUCUGCAUGUCAGUACUCAGAAAUGUGAAAUGAGACAAAAUAGGGGAAACUGUGGGACAAAUUACAUGGUCCAUGCUAAAGUGCCUAUGUACUUUGGAUAGUUAAAUCUGCCGUUUCUUCAUGUAGGUUCCAUUUUCGCUGUGCUAUUAAGGCAGUACUUACACGGUCCCCAGGUACGCAUCCUCUCUUUAGCCAUCAUCACUCAACUCUUGCAGCACACAUGCGUUUAUGGCACUCCACCUGUGUAGACUAUGCUCCUGUUUGAAAACGCACCUUGUUCUUUUCCUUGAUUUGUUUGUAUUGAAGUAUCAGCUCGGAGCACCACAUCGGUAUAUGCGCAUAUUCAUUUCACCUGAGAGACGUGCUGCUAGCUGCUGUUAAACCACGCAUCCUUCAGGGAUUGUUUUUCUGCAUAAAUUUACUGAGCAAGUGCUAUGCCAUCUCAGUCUAGCUCAUUUACGGUGAGAUCACUCUCGGGCUGCUCUCAUCAAUGUGCUCAUUUCAGCUCACUGGCUUUUGUCUGUCAAAAUUGCACUGCCAGUUCCAUUUCGAAUGCCUCUGUCAGCCUCCCUUCAUGUUUCCAGUUUGGACUUCCUUUGGCAAGUUCUCUUCAGAUAGCACCAAUGUGCAUAACUAACCGCAUGUAUGUCUAUUGUUGCCGAGGUGUCGCUUGAUGCGGGUAUUAUGGUUGCACAUGCCGUCGUCACCCCUGAAGUAGUGGGUCAUAGGUUGAACGUGGGCGUUCUGGAUCUCCACCAGCCACACACUUGUUGUCAGAUCAGGUUCCUGGCAAGGAAUGUCAUCCUUGCAUCGUGCGUGAAUAUGUGGCAUGCGGUUUGUUGUGGCACACACCAGCUAGUGGGCACCCUGCUGCACUUCGUGCGUUGUGCUAGUUUGGGUCAGCAUGGAAUGUCUUACAGGCUCGAGUAGUUGAGUUGCCGUCUUUGCUCUCGAUAGGCGUGAAGAUAAUCCAGCGCUUUGCACUGGACGUGUUGUUUGGUGCCAUUGGGCUUACUGUGGUGGUUUGCUGCCUUUUGGGUGAAUUGUUUGUGUGCACGUAUGUGCCCGUAGAACACGAGACAGUGGCAUUGUCUGUAUAGUAUGGCCUUUUUUCUACCAGUGUGUUCUUGUGUACCACUGUCUGCUGUUCCUCUUUUUUUAAAUGGCCCAUUGAAACCUGUAUUGCUUAGUCUGUCUUUGCAGUUGUUCAAACACAUCUGGUCUUUUCAUUGAGGUAUGCUGCGUUGUUCUGAGAACAUUUGCUUUUAGCGACUGCCAGCCCACUUUUGUGGUGCAAGUAUGUGAUGGCACCGGCAGUAACACAUAUGCUCAGCGUGUUUAACGUCGCCGACUUGAACAGUCGAUGUGGCAAGAGAAAUUGUGCUUGCGGAACCUUAGUACGUGAUUUCCAUAUGGGCCUUUUGCUGGCCACUGUAAUCCCCACAGAAAGCUUGUCCUUGUCAGUAGGUCUUGAGUUACCGCUGCCGGAGUGUUUUUGAGAUCUGCAAGAAUAGGAAAGGAAACGACAACAUUUGGAGAUACAGCGUAGCCAUUAUUGCAUCUUGCGCAACCAUCACACAACCACUGGCUUCAUGUCUAAAACGUUUAUAUCUUUUUAUUUUCCUCUUCCGGGUGAUGUAUUACAGAGGUGCAGAACUAUUUUUGCAGAAGUUCCGCCAACUAGAAAGAUUGUUAAACUCUUCCCACAACUCACAGGUGUUUUGGAAAGAGUUGUUCUGCACCUGGGGUUUAUGUGGGUGCUUGUUAUGCCUCUCCUUGGACAGAGGCAUUUGCCGUCAUGCCAAUGGUACUGAAAACUACACUGUGUAAAUUUCCCUUAUGGUGCUCGUGUUCCCUGGCACACUAGGUAGACAGCAGGUUUUCUUUUGUUACAUGGUGUUCCUCUAAAUUAUCAUGGAAGGUGAUGCAGGGCACGCUGUACUGCCUGGCUUUCUAUAAGUAGAGAUUUAGUUGCCAUUGUUAUUAAAGUACAGAGUAAUCUGCAUUUUAAUUGCGAGUACCUUUCAAAGUAAGUGCUGCACUUACUACUACGCUCUUGUUUGGAGCAAGAUUGAACUUUUUGCUUUGCGUUCAGUAAAACACUUGGCUCCCUUGCUUGGCUGGUUCAUCUGGUACAUCUGGUUGGUUCACCAAACAUGCCAGCUUCUUCAGAAGCAUGGUACACUUUUGAAACCUCUCCGCAACUAAAGUUCUGAAGGAAAAAUAGGUAAACACUGUUAUCAAGCGCAUUACUGAACCAAGAAUAGUGUUGACCAAAACGAUGCUAUCUUUGGAAACUUGAGUGAAAGCAACCUGCAUUGACUUAGGUCGUUGGCAUUGCAUGCUGUAAAUUGAAAGUCGUUCUUGAGAGAUCAUUCGAGUACCGUUGGCAUGAUGAGCAACUCGGCUAUUUGGCGGUGAUCUCCGCAUCAUUUUGUCUGAAAGUUAAAAAGAGGAAAACACACUGCCAAUGUUAUUAUCUGCAUGUGUGCCUGCAGAUGUCGGCCUGGCACACACAUGCGACACACCAUUUAUAAAGUUUGUCGUCCUGUGUAUAGCGUGUACACUGACACGAUCGACUAUAGAUAUAAGCCACGGGACACAUACACGAUAUACUCUGGCGUUUUCUGAUUAUUUUCGCCCCAUUGCCACCACUUUCUCUGUACCUCAUGUCUGUGAAGGAAGGAAAAAAAAAAGUACAGCAAAGCGCAUUGUGCUGCUUUGAGUUUUGCAGUGAACCUGCGUGUUCUGUUUGGUUGUAUAUUUUUGAUAUACAAACGUGCACUGAAAUAAAUGUCAGAAGGUGUGCAUCUA
Long non-coding RNA from Rhipicephalus sanguineus (brown dog tick), 3576 nucleotides. RefSeq lists it as uncharacterized. The record is from RefSeq and is a predicted model, not a curated record. The transcript has 2 exons. NCBI's taxonomy places the organism in Eukaryota, Metazoa, Arthropoda, Arachnida, Ixodida, Ixodidae.